UGAGACUUGAUGGGUGCCACAAACCCAGCAA
Molecule: non-coding RNA, 31 nt
Filed under: Rattus norvegicus (Norway rat)
Lineage: Eukaryota; Metazoa; Chordata; Mammalia; Rodentia; Muridae
Source: RNAcentral